Molecule: small RNA, 133 nt
Filed under: Salmonella enterica subsp. enterica serovar Infantis
Lineage: Bacteria; Pseudomonadati; Pseudomonadota; Gammaproteobacteria; Enterobacterales; Enterobacteriaceae
Also listed under: 68 other names
Description: RtT sRNA
Rfam family: RtT RNA
About the family: This family represents a bacterial cis-regulatory element known as RtT RNA. The exact function of RtT is unknown although it is thought that it may be involved in changing the cellular response in relation to amino acid starvation.
Source: RNAcentral
UGCAUCUGAAGCCUGACGAGGAUGAGAACCUCCGGGGGCAAGAGGUUCGACUCGAGCGCAGCGAGAGAACGUUGCGUCAGCAACGGCCCGCAGGGCGAGCCACGCAGUGGCGAGUCAUCCUCUAUCACCAGCA